This 465-nucleotide ribosomal RNA is filed under the name Vreelandella stevensii. RNAcentral describes it as "partial 16S ribosomal RNA". It matches the Rfam family "Bacterial small subunit ribosomal RNA", at positions 338 to 795 of the family's 1533-position model. Lineage: Bacteria; Pseudomonadati; Pseudomonadota; Gammaproteobacteria; Oceanospirillales; Halomonadaceae. The record is from RNAcentral.
CCUACGGGUGGCAGCAGUGGGGAAUAUUGGACAAUGGGCGAAAGCCUGAUCCAGCCAUGCCGCGUGUGUGAAGAAGGCCUUCGGGUUGUAAAGCACUUUCAGUGGGGAAGAAAGCCUUGGGGCUAAUACCCUCGAGGAAGGACAUCACCCACAGAAGAAGCACCGGCUAACUCCGUGCCAGCAGCCGCGGUAAUACGGAGGGUGCGAGCGUUAAUCGGAAUUACUGGGCGUAAAGCGCGCGUAGGCGGUCUGAUAAGCCGGUUGUGAAAGCCCCGGGCUCAACCUGGGAACGGCAUCCGGAACUGUCAGGCUAGAGGGCGGGAGAGGAAGGUAGAAUUCCCGGUGUAGCGGUGAAAUGCGUAGAGAUCGGGAGGAAUACCAGUGGCGAAGGCGGCCUUCUGGACUGACACUGACGCUGAGGUGCGAAAGCGUGGGUAGCAAACAGGAUUAGAUACCCCGGUAGUC